This 484-nucleotide ribosomal RNA is filed under the name uncultured bacterium. Its description in RNAcentral is "partial 16S ribosomal RNA". It matches the Rfam family "Bacterial small subunit ribosomal RNA", at positions 29 to 507 of the family's 1533-position model. The record is from RNAcentral.
AGUGAACGCUGGCGGCAGGCCUAACACAUGCAAGUCGAACGGAAGAACGGUGCUUGCUUGUGGUUUCAGCGGGGGACUGGUGUGUAAUUCAUGUGAAUCUCCUGCGCUUUUCUUUAGAAUGUCUUCAAGCAGGUGCUAAUACCCCAUUAUCGCAGAGCCACCAAGUGGGUGAGCGUUGGACCUUACGCUCUCACGUGAGUGUAGGUGGGAUUAGCUAGUUGGUGGGUUAAAGGGCUACCAAGGCAACGAUCCGUAGCUGGGCGGAGAGGAUGAUCAGUCACACUGGAACUGAGACACGGUCCAGACUCCUACGGGAGGCAGCAGUGGGGAAUAUUGGACAAUGGGCGAAAGCCUGAUCCAGCCAUCCCGAGUGUGUGGAGAAGGCCUUCGGAUUGUAAAGCCCUUUUGGUUGGGAGGAACAGCAGUAGGUUAAUACCUUGCUGUUUUGACGUUACCAACAGAAUAAGCACCGGCUAACUUCGUG